Molecule: long non-coding RNA, 1232 nt
Organism: Helianthus annuus (common sunflower)
Lineage: Eukaryota; Viridiplantae; Streptophyta; Magnoliopsida; Asterales; Asteraceae
Exons: 2
Source: RefSeq, a predicted model, not a curated record
GAUUUCUAUAAUCACUUCUUUAGUUGUUUAAGUAAUAUAAUGUUUUAAUUAUUAAGUUCAUAUGAAGUUGAGGUUAAAUCAAUGGAUUAUUUUGAUAAAUGCACGAAUGGGUCGAAUAAUUCAUAGAUGAAUAACAAGCCGAAUACGUAUAAGUUAAGAAAUUCCUUAACUCGGAUGUUGGACUUCAAGAUCACGUGAUAGAAUAUUAAAUUACAAUCAUAUAGGAAGAAACGUGACGCAAAACGGACGAAAAAUGAGAGAGUUAUGUCCGUUUCAGUAAGGAUUAAUGGCUAGGAAAAGUGCAGAGUUGACACGGCCGGGUGGUGAACUGACACGGCCGGGUGAAGGUUCUGUCAAAAAUAUUAUUUAUGUGAUUUAUGCGUCGUAGGCUUCGGUAUAUUAUCCGUGAACUACGACGGGCCUCCCAAACAUGAUUUCGAGUGUUUCCUUGACGAUUAUAAGUUGUAAACCCAAGUCUAAGCCUCAUGUAAUUUAUAUAAGAGUGUGAUAGAUGUAUGUAAUGAAGUUGGACAUGUAUUACAUGUAAAUGUAUACAAAAAUACGUACGGAACACGUAGGUAUGAAUACAUGAUUGUAGGUAUGAUUAAAUGUAUAUUAGGUAUGUAGAUGUGUAUGAUUGUAAGUUUGUAUGUGUGCAAGUAUGUGCGAAUGCAUGAUUUGGAUGCAUUUGAGAAUUAGCGUUACUAAUAAUGCCCUUGGGUUUGGAAUAUAAGUUGAUUGGAUGCAUUUAAAUGGUUAACGUCCUUUUUAUGAAGAUGUAGUAAAUGAAUAUGUUGAGAUUACGGGUUUGGCUAACCAAGUUAUUAUUGAGUAUGUUUGAAAGUGCAGGUUAUGAAUGUCGGACUUUCGAAGUGUUGAUAUAAUAAUGAAACGGUUGAAUGUUGAAAGGAUAAUCGGAUUGAAGUAACUUAUGCGGUUAGAAUAUGCUAUGGACGUUUUAGUUUAUACAAUAUUAUAUGUUUGGUCGUCACCAUCUACUAACAGGUAAAUCCUCAAUUUUGGCGACUUGGAGAAUCGGAGCGAGCGCGUGUUCGUGUUAUGCGAUACCAAACGCUUCCGCUAGCUUGUUCAAAUGUUUUUGAUCCAAAAUUUGUUGUAUUGGUUUUUAGUAGUAUCUUGUUGAACGAAUUGUAGAAUUGUAUCUAGUUUGUUUAUGUUUAAAACAGGGGUAUGCUCGUUUUAUGGACGGGUCAUGCCCGAUUUUUGUUAAA